CCUAACAGCCUUGGGCCCUUUCCUUUCCCCCUCAGCCACUCAAGAAUGAAUACAAGACUUUCCCAAAGUGCUUAGACAUAGACGUGAACAUGGAACAAGACCCAAGAUCCACACGAUGAUGCAGCGUUGCUUGAUCUGACUCCUAAGGACACAAUCCUUUAAUUCUCAAGAUGGACCCUUACAGAUAUGUUUUGGACUACAACUCCCACCAUUCCUAACAGCCUCAGGCCCUUUCCUUUUCCCCCUCAGCCACUCAAGAAUUAAUACAAGACUUUCCCAAAGAUCUUAGACAUAGACAUGAACAUGGAACAAGACCCAAGAGCCACAUGAUGACACAGUGUUGCCUGAUCUGACUCUUAAGGAAACAGUCCUUUAAUUUAAGGAAGGGGCCCGAGGCUGUUAGGAAUGGUGGGAGUUGGAGUCCAAAACACCUGGAGGGAGGACCAAAGUUGGCCCAUGCCUGUUAUAUAAAAAAGCCAAAGUAGAUUGAUUAUUGAAAUAUAACUCCCAUUUUAGCCUUGUGUUUUCCAAGCCAGGUCCAGGAAGGCUAAUGGAGAAAAUACCUUUGCUCUCCCGACCUUUCUCCUGUGACCAAAACGAAACCCCGCAGCCUGGUGAAGUCAGGAAGAACCCUGUUUCAGUCCUCUACCAAUAUUGCCACUAGGUUUUUAUUGGUCUGUGCACUUGGCCCUCCACUUUUAAUGUCUAUCUUUUCUGAAUUUGGUGAAUAUGGCCUUUCUAGAAAUGAUGCAGUGGGUUAAACCGCUGAGCUGCUGAACUUGCUAACCGAAAGGUCACAGGUUCAAAUCCAGGGAGUGGGUGAGCUCCCGCUGUUAGCCCCAGCUUCUGCCAACCUAGCAAAAGCUCCAGCAGGAAGUCAACUGCAUUCCAUGCAGUCACGCUGGCGACAUGACCUUGGAGGUGUCUAUGGACAGCUCUGGCUUUUUAGCUUAGAAAUGGAGAUGAGCACCAACCCCUAGAGUCGGACAUGACUGGACUAAAUGUCAGGGGAAAACCUUUACCUUUUUAGGAAUUUUAGUUCCUCCACUGCACCUCUUGUUGGGUGAGUGAGUUAAUAACAAAGGACCCUCCCCAUGAACUUAGUAACUUAUCAGCAGCAGCGUGACCCAGCACCAGUAGCCCAAAGUGAUAAAAGAACAAAAAACACACAGACCAAUGUUAUCUCUUCCAUAGGAAGCUUUUCUCUGUAGUAAAAUAAUAUGGUUGCACUGUUUACAAGAACAAGCUUUUCAUAACACAAAUAAAGUCCUUUACAUUUCCUUCUUUGCUUCCACGCUGGGCUUCUUUCUCAUGCAAAUAGACAGCUUCGCUCUCACAGAGCCUCUUCUCACAGGAGCCUCACACAGGGCUUCUCUCACCGAAGAUUCUCACACCAGGCCUUCUCAUACUGAGGCCUACUAACACUGAGGCCUUGGAGCUUCACACAGUAGCUUUACACACAGCAGCGUUCACACAUGAGACCUUCACACACAAUGGCCUUCAACCUGGGGCAUCUCUCACCGAAGCUUCUCACACCAGGCAUUCUCACACUGAGGCCUAGUAACACUGAGGCGUACUUAACACUGAGGCAUUGGAGCUUCACACAGUAGCUUUACACAAAGCAGCCUUCACACAUGAGGCCUUCACACAGAAUGGCCUUCAACCUGGGGCAUCUCUCACCGAAGCUUCUCACACCAGGCCUUCUCAUACUGAGGCCUAGUAACACUGAGGCCUAUUUAACACUGAGGCAUUGGAGCUUCACACAGUAGCUUUACACACAGCAACCUUCACACAUGAGGCCUUCACACACAAUGGCCUCCAACCUAGGGCUUCUCUCACUGAGACUUCUCACACCAGGCUUUCUAAUACUGAGGCCUGCAUAACACUGAGGCCUUUCUCCCACUGAGACCUCUCUUUAUAGAAAAAUUAUAUGGUUGUACUAGUUACAAGAACAAGGUUUCCAUAACACUUCCUUCUUUGCUUCCAUGCUGGGCUUCUUUCACACGUAGAUAAAUAGCUUCACUCUCACACGGCCUUUUCUCACACUGAACUUACACAGGAGCUUUACACACAGCAGUCUUCACACUGAAACUUCACACAUGAGCUUUACACACACAAGGCCUUCAACUUGGGGCUUCCUCUCACCAAAGCUUCUCACACCAGGCCUUCUCAUACUGAGGCCUUUCUCACACUGAGGUGAACUAGCACUGAGGUCUUCUCAUAUUGAGGCCUACCUAACACACUGAGGCCCUUCUUCCACAGAGACCUUUCUCAGACUGAGGCCUUUCUCCCACUGACGCGAACUAAUACUGAGGCCUACCUAACACACUGAGGCCCUUCUCCCACAGAGACCUCUCUCAGACUGAGGCCUUUCUCCCACUGAGGCGAACUAACACUGAUGCCUUCUCAUAUUGAGGCCUACCUAACACACAGAGGCCCUUCUCCCACAGAGACCUCUCUCAGACUGAGGCCUUUCUCCCACUGAGGCAAACUAACACUGAGGCCUAC
Anolis sagrei ordinatus is the source of this 2508-nucleotide non-coding RNA. The record is from RefSeq and is a predicted model, not a curated record. Lineage: Eukaryota; Metazoa; Chordata; Lepidosauria; Squamata; Anolidae.